Molecule: ribosomal RNA, 765 nt
Filed under: uncultured bacterium
Lineage: Bacteria
Description: bacterial SSU rRNA
Rfam family: Bacterial small subunit ribosomal RNA
Source: RNAcentral
UACCUAACACAUGCAAGUCGUGCGAGAAACCUACCCUUCGGGGUAGGGAGUAAAGCGGCGGACGGGUGAGUAAUGCGUAGGUAACCUGCCUCCGAGAGGGGAAUAACCUACCGAAAGGUGGGCUAAUGCCCCAUAAGCUCACGGCCACUACGGUGGUUGUGAGAAAAGAUGGCCUCUGCAUGCAAGCUGUCGCUCGGAGAGGGGCUUACGUCCUAUCAGCUAGUUGGUGAGGUAAUGGCUCACCAAGGCUACGACGGGUAGCCGGCCUGAGAGGGUGGUCGGCCACACUGGCACUGAGACACGGGCCAGACUCCUACGGGAGGCAGCAGUGGGGAAUAUUGGGCAAUGGGCGCAAGCCUGACCCAGUAACGCCCCGUGGGUGAUGAAGGCCUUCGGGUCGUAAAGCCCUGUCAGGUGGGAAGAAUAUCUGAUGGGUAAAUAGCCCAUUGGAUUGACGGUACCACCAGAGGAAGCACCGGCUAACUCCGUGCCAGCAGCCGCGGUAAUACGGAGGGUGCGAGCGUUACUCGGAAUUACUGGGCGUAAAGGGCGCGUAGGCGGGAAGGCAAGUUGAGCGUGUAAGCCUGAGGCUCAACCUCAGAAUGGCGCUCAAAACUGCCUUUCUUGAGUCCCGGAGAGGCCGGCGGAAUUCCCGGUGUAGGGGUGAAAUCCGUAGAUAUCGGGAGGAACACCGGUGGCGAAGGCGGCCGGCUGGACGGGUACUGACGCUGAGGCGCGAAAGCGUGGGGAGCAAACAGGAUUAGA